ACGCACGCUGACGGCGUGCUUAACACAUGCAAGUCGAACGGAAAGGCCCUGCUUUUGUGGGGUGCUCGAGUGGCGAACGGGUGAGUAACACGUGAGUAACCUGCCCUUGACUUUGGGAUAACUUCAGGAAACUGGGGCUAAUACCGGAUAGGAGCUCCUGCUGCAUGGUGGGGGUUGGAAAGUUUCGGCGGUUGGGGAUGGACUCGCGGCUUAUCAGCUUGUUGGUGGGGUAGUGGCUUACCAAGGCUUUGACGGGUAGCCGGCCUGAGAGGGUGACCGGCCACAUUGGGACUGAGAUACGGCCCAGACUCCUACGGGAGGCAGCAGUGGGGAAUAUUGCACAAUGGGCGGAAGCCUGAUGCAGCAACGCCGCGUGCGGGAUGACGGCCUUCGGGUUGUAAACCGCUUUCGCCUGUGACGAAGCGUGAGUGACGGUAAUGGGUAAAGAAGCACCGGCUAACUACGUG
Molecule: ribosomal RNA, 467 nt
Filed under: uncultured bacterium
Lineage: Bacteria
Description: partial 16S ribosomal RNA
Rfam family: Bacterial small subunit ribosomal RNA
Source: RNAcentral